RNAcentral lists this unclassified non-coding RNA (2407 nucleotides) under Leishmania donovani. RNAcentral describes it as "gene:LdHU3.32.0380(CDS-product:hypothetical_prote in_conserved)". The record is from RNAcentral. Lineage: Eukaryota; Euglenozoa; Kinetoplastea; Trypanosomatida; Trypanosomatidae.
UUGCCGGCUUGACGAGAAAACACGCGGCGAGCAGCACCACGCCGUCCACUGCGCGCUCUUUUUCACCUCUCUUCUUUUUUUUGUUCCGUCGUGCUUGCGGCGCACCGCCACGUGAAACGGGACUGUGCCGCCUCUCCCUCUUCCCUCCGUGCAUCUUAGAGCACCGCUUUCGCUGCUGUGCGGUGUAUGGGCUGUGGCUGUGCGUCUUUGCCUGCGUGCUUGCCUGCGUGCUGGCGACAAAAGAGUGUCCCACCUGCUCUCUCGCUGUUGCCUCGGCCCUUCUACUGGAUCGUGUUCUCAUGCGUCUCUGCACUCGCGAUGUCAAUGCUCAGGGAAGGCUGAGCAAGUCUCCCUGCAUCCCUCUCUCGCAAAUGGAGGUGGGCCUUUUGUGCACGUCGGGGGAGGCGUGGCCGCCGCUGUUGCCCAGCUUUAGCAGGGAGGCCGUGGAGGCGAUAAAUAGGUUUGUACAGGGGUUUAUCUGCAAGCGCAUCGAGUACCGCUGUGGUCAGCUCUCCGCCGAGGACUACGAGGACGCGUUUCUGCCGCGGUGGGUGCGCAUGGCGGAGCACCGCACCGUCCUCAUGGAGGACUUCUUCGCUCAGCAUGGCAGCCGCCUCAGCGAGGAGACGUUCCGCGAGCUCUUCGGCGCCUUUGAGAAGAUGCAGAGCGCCCUGCGUGAUGCGCGGCAGGAGCCCGGCGGCGGCGUGGAGUGGCGUCACGACAAGCGCAUCUCUUUUGCGCGGCCGGUGGCGCACCGCCUCAUCCGCCGCUCGCGCGAUCGCUUCUCACUCCGCAGCGUCGCCGACGUCGACGAAGGCGCUGCGCUCAGCCACCCCUCACCCUCCCCUGGUCCUAGCAGCGCCGCCGACGCAUGGCGAGACUCGCUGCAGCCUGGCAGCUCCUCUCCUAUCCCCGGCGGGACGGUGGUGAGCGUGAGCAGCGUGACAGACAUCGCGGACGCGGACGAUGUGCGCACCUUUGUGCUGCCGGUGGAGGAGAGCGCCGAUGGGGACCACUUCACAGGUAGGGCCAGCGGUGUCUACUACGGCGACCUCCUCCGCUCCGCCGGCAGCUCCGCGAGGAGCAGCGACCAGGGCAGCCGCGCAGCUGAGGCUGCUUCCUUCGCCCUUGCGGAGGGAAGAGACAGCUUGGAUAACGGCGCCGGCAUUGCCGAGGCUGUGUUGCAGGCGUACAGCGGGCCGGCGCGGCGGGCUAAGGCAUGGCGACGGCUGUGGAUUCGCUGCUUCUACCAUUGCAUUCUCCCGGCUGUGGUGGUGGUUUCUCUUGCCGCUUACUACUGGGAUACGUUGCAGCUCUAUCUGCGCUUAUAGAGCACCUCGGAUUCGUGUGGCGCCCCUCCCCCCCCCCCCCCCCCCGCGCGAUCUCUCCUGCUGAGCAGUCUCUAUGCUUGUAGAGCUGUCGGUGUCGCGGGGUUAAAGGGGGGGGGGGGUGGCUGUCGGUGUCGGGCCACUUUGGUUGCUCUUGUCGUUGCCGUUUGUGCGUGGUGUCUGAUGCGGGUGCUCGGUCUCCUUUCUCUCAUAUUCUUUUGUUGUUCUGUGCGUAGGUGUCCUACUCCUCUGUCUCUCUGUCUGUGUGGUGACGAGAUCUCUCCGUGACCACCACAUCAUCGUCCAUCCUUGUGCGGCCUGCAGAUGGUGGGAGGCGCCGCGAUGUGGGCCUCAGAGUGUACACACAGCCCCCGCGCCCCCGUUCCCACAGACAUCUCUAUACAUAACACACAGAUGGACGCCUACUACCUUCUAGAUGGCACACACUCAAGCACAAGGACACAGAGGAAGGGUGAGGAGAGAAGAGAAUGCUCGGUGGAGGGGGAAGGGGGCGUUUAUGUAUGCACACAGGACGCACCCACUUCCGGGCUCUUUACCCUUUUUUGCCCCUCCUUUCUCUGCUCGAUUCUCUCUCACGCGUCUUUUCCUCUCCUCUCCUGCACGUGCGCGCGUGCGUGUGUGUGUGUGUGUGUACGACAGACUCGGCGUGGGUGUGCCGUCUCUUCUUGUUCACUCCUCCUCCCUUCAACUAGAUGCAAACUUCUCUCGUGCUGUCUGUCAGUUGUCUUGUACAUCGUUGGUUACGUGAUGCAAGCAUACAUGUGUGGAUGUAUGGGUGGAUGUGCUUGUGGAAAGCGGGCCGGUUCCGCCCCUGGAAGGCAACGUACGUGCACGGCAUCACCCUCGCCGCGCCGCGCGAUGGACUGGGAGCUGCUGUGAUGCAGGAGAGGGGCCAUUCAACCUUGCGUUUUGGCUGUCCUAACGCCGUGCGCCCUGCCAUGGAGUGCGCAUCUCUACUCCUGUGGUGCAUUUUCACCUUAGGCGUCUCUCACUGACGCCGCAGAAUCUCUCCCGCUUGCCCCAACGCUCAUUUUUUUUCGCUUCUUCUUGAAACUCAG